This 106-nucleotide small nuclear RNA is filed under the name Cavia aperea (Brazilian guinea pig). Lineage: Eukaryota; Metazoa; Chordata; Mammalia; Rodentia; Caviidae. The record is from RNAcentral.
GUGCUCACUUUGGCAGCACACAUACUAAAAUGGAAUGAUACAGAGAAGAUCAGCAUGGCCCCUGCGCAAGGAUGGCACGUAAAUUCGUGGAGCAUUCCAUAUUUUU